This 459-nucleotide ribosomal RNA is filed under the name uncultured bacterium. Its description in RNAcentral is "bacterial SSU rRNA". It matches the Rfam family "Bacterial small subunit ribosomal RNA", at positions 340 to 790 of the family's 1533-position model. The record is from RNAcentral.
UACGGGAGGUAGCAGUGGGGAAUAUUGCACAAUGGGCGAAAGCCUGAUGCAGCUAUGCCGCGUGUAUGAAGAAGGCCUUAGGGGUUGUAAAGUACUUUUCAUCGGGGAGGAAAAACAAAACUAAUAAUUUUAUUUCUUGACGUUACCCGAAAAAGAAGCACCGGCUAACUCCGUGCCAGCAGCCGCGGUAAUACGGAGGGUGCUAGCGUUAAUCAGAAUUACUGGGCGUAAAGAGCACGUAGGUGGUUUUUUUAAGUCAGAUGUGAAAUCCCUGGGCUUAACCUGGAACUGCAUUUUGAAACUGAAAUACUAGAGUAUCGUAGAGGGAGGUAGAAUUCUAGGUGUAGCGGUGAAAUGCGUAGAUAUCUGGAGGAAUACCUGUGGCGAAAGCGGCCUCUAAACGGAUACUGACACUGAGGUGCGAAAGCGUGGGGAGCAAACAGGGAUUAGGAUACCCGU